GGCCUGUUAGCGCAGCUGGUUAGAGCGUGUUGCUAAUAAUGCCAAGGUCAUGGGUUCAAUCCCCAUACUGGACA
RNAcentral lists this transfer RNA (74 nucleotides) under Xiphophorus maculatus (southern platyfish). It matches the Rfam family "tRNA". From Rfam's summary of the family: Transfer RNA (tRNA) molecules are approximately 80 nucleotides in length. Their secondary structure includes four short double-helical elements and three loops (D, anti-codon, and T loops). The record is from Rfam by way of RNAcentral. Lineage: Eukaryota; Metazoa; Chordata; Actinopteri; Cyprinodontiformes; Poeciliidae.